Molecule: ribosomal RNA, 497 nt
Filed under: uncultured bacterium
Lineage: Bacteria
Description: partial 16S ribosomal RNA
Rfam family: Bacterial small subunit ribosomal RNA
Source: RNAcentral
GAUGAACGCUGGCGGCAGGCCUAAUACAUGCAAGUCGAGCGAACGGACGAGAAGCUUGCUUCUCUGAUGUUAGCGGCGGACGGGUGAGUAACACGUGGAUAACCUACCUAUAAGACUGGGAUAACUUCGGGAAACCGGAUCUAAUACCGGAUAAUAGUUUGAACCGCAUGGUUCAAAAGUGAAAGACGGUCUUGCUGUCACUUAGAGAUGGAUCCGCGCUGCAUUAGCUAGUUGGUAAGGUAACGGCUUACCAAGGCAACGAUGCAUAGCCGACCUGAGAGGGUGAUCGGCCACACUGGAACUGAGACACGGUCCAGACUCCUACGGGAGGCAGCAGUAGGGAAUAUUCCGCAAUGGGCGAAAGCCUGACGGAGCCACGCCGCGUGAGUGAUGAAGGUCUUCGGAUCGUAAAACUCUGUUAUUAGGGAAGAACAUAUGUGUAAGUAACUGUGCACAUCUUGACGGUACCUAAUCAGAAAGCCACGGCUAACUACGUG